Molecule: long non-coding RNA, 613 nt
Organism: Bactrocera oleae (olive fruit fly)
Lineage: Eukaryota; Metazoa; Arthropoda; Insecta; Diptera; Tephritidae
Source: RefSeq, a predicted model, not a curated record
AUUUGGCAGAUAAUUAAACAGCUAAAAAGUUGUAAACGAAAGUUCAAAACAAUUUAAUUUAGUUUUUACUCACAAAAAGGUAAAUAGUUAUUAAAAUGGACAUUAGUUUUGAUUUAUAUUACGACGAAAAUCCAAAUCCACACGAACUUAGUAACACCAUCAGAUUCAUAAGUUAUUUUCGUCGUAAAUGAGAUGAGGAACAUUACCACAAACUCUCCAUUUCCUUGCUGCCGGUAGCUGUGAAGAAUGCAUAUUAAUUUUGGGCUGAAUCAACCUUUUUAUUUGAUUGAAUAAGAUUAUUGUUUAUAUCUUUUGUUUUAUUAAUUGCUUCGUUAGUAAUUUAUUACAGAGUAUAUGAGAGGAGAUACAAAUAUUAAUCCUUUUAUUGUAUUAGUUUUUACAAAACAUAAUUCAAAAUUGUAUCGACUCUUUAUGUUCCAAACACUUUCCACGGUCCCUUAAUUUUAUUUUAAUGUUUCCAAAUUGUAGCUUGUCUCGUCCAGUUUUGGAAGUUUACUCCACGAACUCAACAAACUUCACCUUUCUAUGGAUUUGUACAAAGUAACUGAUCAAAAUUGUUUGAAAUAAAAAAUAAAAUAGUUCUUUUUACCCA